Otolemur garnettii (small-eared galago) is the source of this 104-nucleotide small nuclear RNA. The record is from Ensembl. Lineage: Eukaryota; Metazoa; Chordata; Mammalia; Primates; Galagidae.
GUGCUCGCUUCGGCAGCACAUAUACUAAAAUUGGAAUGAUACAGAGAUUAGCAUGGCCCCUGUGCAAGGAUGACACGCAAAUUUGUGAAGCGUUCCAUAUUUUU